Molecule: ribosomal RNA, 406 nt
Filed under: uncultured bacterium
Lineage: Bacteria
Description: partial 16S ribosomal RNA
Rfam family: Bacterial small subunit ribosomal RNA
Source: RNAcentral
AUUGAACGCUGGCGGCAGGCCUAACACAUGCAAGUCGCACGAGUGGCGGACGGGUGAGUAAUUUCUGGGAAACUGCCUGAUGGAGGGGGAUAACUAAUGGAAACGGUAGCUAAUACCGCAUACCUUCAGAUAUGCCCAGAUGGGAUUAGCUUGUUGGUGGGGUAACGGCGAACCAAGGUGACGAUCACUAGCUGGUCUGAGAGGAUGACCAGCCACACUGGAACUGAGACACGGUCCAGACUCCUACGUGAGGCAGCAGUGGGGAAUAUUGCACAAUGGGCGCAAGACUGAGGCAGCCAUGCCGCGUGUAUGAAGAAGGCCUUCGGGUUGUAAAGUACUUUCAGCGGGGAGGCGUUACCCGCAGAAGAAGCACCGGCUAACUCCGUGCCAGCAGCCGCGGUAAUUC